RNAcentral lists this ribosomal RNA (407 nucleotides) under uncultured Terrabacter sp. RNAcentral's name for it is "bacterial SSU rRNA". It matches the Rfam family "Bacterial small subunit ribosomal RNA", at positions 355 to 774 of the family's 1533-position model. The record is from RNAcentral. RNAcentral also lists the same sequence under 1 other name. Lineage: Bacteria; Bacillati; Actinomycetota; Actinomycetes; Micrococcales; Intrasporangiaceae.
UGGGGAAUAUUGCACAAUGGGCGGAAGCCUGAUGCAGCGACGCCGCGUGAGGGAUGACGGCCUUCGGGUUGUAAACCUCUUUCAGCAGGGAAGAAGCGCAAGUGACGGUACCUGCAGAAGAAGCACCGGCUAACUACGUGCCAGCAGCCGCGGUAAUACGUAGGGUGCGAGCGUUGUCCGGAAUUAUUGGGCGUAAAGAGCUUGUAGGUGGUUUGUCGCGUCUGCUGUGAAAAUCCGAGGCUCAACCUCGGACUUGCAGUGGGUACGGGCAGACUAGAGUGUGGUAGGGGAGACUGGAAUUCCUGGUGUAGCGGUGGAAUGCGCAGAUAUCAGGAGGAACACCGAUGGCGAAGGCAGGUCUCUGGGCCAUUACUGACACUGAGAAGCGAAAGCAUGGGGAGCGAACA